Cygnus atratus (black swan) is the source of this 753-nucleotide long non-coding RNA. RefSeq lists it as uncharacterized. The transcript is spliced from 3 exons. NCBI's taxonomy places the organism in Eukaryota, Metazoa, Chordata, Aves, Anseriformes, Anatidae. The record is from RefSeq and is a predicted model, not a curated record.
ACCCGGCACCCCCGCGCCGCCGGGGGCUCGUCACCGACAGCACGGCACCGGCUGCCCGUGGGAGCGCGGGGAGCGCUGGUUCGCUUGCAAGUAAAGGAGAAACAGGUCACCAGGAGCAGUCAGCAUGGGUUCAAGGGGAAGUCAUGCCUGGCCAACCUGUCUGCAGAUGACCAAACUCGGGAGAAGCGGCUGAUAAAUCAGGGGUCGUGCUGCCAUGCAGAGGGACCCGGACGUGUUGGAGAGCGGGGCUGACAGGAACCUCCUGCAGUUCAACAAGAAGAACUGCCAGGCCCGGCCCCUGGGGAGGAACAAGCCCAGCACCAGGACAGGCCGGGGGCACCCGGCUUGGAAGCAGUCGGGCACAGAAGGACCUGGGGUCCUGGUGGGCACCGCGGUGGGCAGGAGCCAGCAAAGGGCCCUUGGGCAGAGAGGGCUGGCGGUGUCCUGUCUGUGGUAGGACAGCCGGGGGGGGAUCCUGCCCCUCUGCUGGGCGCUGGGGAGUCCUGGGGAGUCCUGGGGAGUCCUGGGCCCCCAGCACUGAGAGAGCUGGGCCCAGCGGGGAGAGCCCAGGCCGGGGCCCCCAGGGUGCUGCCGGGCCCGGAGCCCCCGUGCUGUGAGGAGAGGCUGCGAGAGCUGGGGCUGCUGGGCCUGGAGCAGAGGCGGCUCCAGGGGAGCUCCCCCAUGGCCGUCAGUACCCGCAGGGAGGUGCGGAGAGGCCGGAGCCGGGCUCUGCUCAGCGGUGCCCAGGGCCGG